Molecule: transfer RNA, 74 nt
Filed under: Alphaproteobacteria bacterium
Lineage: Bacteria; Pseudomonadati; Pseudomonadota; Alphaproteobacteria
Also listed under: 2 other names
Description: tRNA-Gly
Rfam family: tRNA
About the family: Transfer RNA (tRNA) molecules are approximately 80 nucleotides in length. Their secondary structure includes four short double-helical elements and three loops (D, anti-codon, and T loops). Further hydrogen bonds mediate the characteristic L-shaped molecular structure. tRNAs have two regions of fundamental functional importance: the anti-codon, which is responsible for specific mRNA codon recognition, and the 3' end, to which the tRNAs corresponding amino acid is attached (by aminoacyl-tRNA synthetases). tRNAs cope with the degeneracy of the genetic code in two manners: having more than one tRNA (with a specific anti-codon) for a particular amino acid; and 'wobble' base-pairing, i.e. permitting non-standard base-pairing at the 3rd anti-codon position.
Source: RNAcentral
GCGGGUGUAGCUCAAUGGUAGAGCGCCAGCCUUCCAAGCUGGAUACGUGGGUUCGAUCCCCAUCACCCGCUCCA